AGGGUGCAAGCGUUAAUCGCGGAUUCUGGGCGUAAAGCGUGCGUAGGUGGUUGUUUAAGUCUGUUGUGAAAGCCCUGGGCUCAACCUGGGAACAGCAGUGGAAGCUGGACGACUAGAGUGUGGUAGAGGGUAGCGGAAUUCCUGGUGUAGCAGUGAAAUGCGUAGAGAUCAGGAGGAACAUCCAUGGCGAAGGCAGCUACCUGGACCAACACUGACACUGAGGCACGAAAGCGUGGGGAGCAAACAGGAUUAGAUACCCUGGUAGUCCACGCCCUAAACGAUGCGAACUGGAUGUUGGGUGCAAUUUGGCACGCAGUAUCGAAGCUAACGCGUUAAGUUCGCCGCCUGGGGAGUACGGUCGCAAGACUGAAACUCAAAGGAAUUGACGGGGGCCCGCACAAGCGGUGGAGUAUGUGGUUUAAUUCGAUGCAACGCGAAGAACCUUACCUGGCCUUGACAUGUCGAGAACUUUCCAGAGAUGGAUUGGUGCCUUCGGGAA
RNAcentral lists this ribosomal RNA (499 nucleotides) under uncultured Lysobacteraceae bacterium. RNAcentral describes it as "bacterial SSU rRNA". It matches the Rfam family "Bacterial small subunit ribosomal RNA", at positions 529 to 1026 of the family's 1533-position model. Lineage: Bacteria; Pseudomonadati; Pseudomonadota; Gammaproteobacteria; Lysobacterales; Lysobacteraceae. The record is from RNAcentral.